AGAGUUUGAUCCUGGCUCAGGACGAACGCUGGCGGCGUGCUUAACACAUGCAAGUCGAACGGAAAGGCCCUGCUUUUGUGGGGUGCUCGAGUGGCGAACGGGUGAGUAACACGUGAGUAACCUGCCCUUGACUUUGGGAUAACUUCAGGAAACUGGGGCUAAUACCGGAUAGGAGCUCCUGCUGCAUGGUGGGGGUUGGAAAGUUUCGGCGGUUGGGGAUGGACUCGCGGCUUAUCAGCUUGUUGGUGGGGUAGUGGCUUACCAAGGCUUUGACGGGUAGCCGGCCUGAGAGGGUGACCGGCCACAUUGGGACUGAGAUACGGCCCAGACUCCUACGGGAGGCAGCAGUGGGGAAUAUUGCACAAUGGGCGGAAGCCUGAUGCAGCAACGCCGCGUGCGGGAUGACGGCCUUCGGGUUGUAAACCGCUUUCGCCUGUGACGAAGCGUGAGUGACGGUAAUGGGUAAAGAAGCACCGGCUAACUACGUGCCAGCAGCCGCGGUGAUACGUAGGGUGCGAGCGUUGUCCGGAUUUAUUGGGCGUAAAGGGCUCGUAGGUGGUUGAUCGCGUCGGAAGUGUAAUCUUGGGGCUUAACCCUGAGCGUGCUUUCGAUACGGGUUGACUUGAGGAAGGUAGGGGAGAAUGGAAUUCCUGGUGGAGCGGUGGAAUGCGCAGAUAUCAGGAGGAACACCAGUGGCGAAGGCGGUUCUCUGGGCCUUUCCUGACGCUGAGGAGCGAAAGCGUGGGGAGCGAACAGGCUUAGAUACCCUGGUAGUCCACGCUGUAAACGGUGGGUACUAGGUGUGGGGUCCAUUCCACGGGUUCCGUGCCGUAGCUAACGCUUUAAGUACCCCGCCUGGGGAGUACGGCCGCAAGGCUAAAACUCAAAGGAAUUGACGGGGCCCCGCACAAGCGGCGGAGCAUGCGGAUUAAUUCGAUGCAACGCGUAGAACCUUACCUGGGUUUGACAUGGAUCGGGAGCGCUCAGAGAUGGGUGUGCCUCUUUUGGGGUCGGUUCACAGGUGGUGCAUGGCUGUCGUCAGCUCGUGUCGUGAGAUGUUGGGUUAAGUCCCGCAACGAGCGCAACCCUUGUUCACUGUUGCCAGCACGUUAUGGUGGGGACUCAGUGGAGACCGCCGGGGUCAACUCGGAGGAAGGUGGGGAUGACGUCAAGUCAUCAUGCCCCUUAUGUCCAGGGCUUCACGCAUGCUACAAUGGCUGGUACAGAGAG
This 1230-nucleotide ribosomal RNA is filed under the name Cutibacterium acnes HL037PA1. Its description in RNAcentral is "bacterial SSU rRNA". It matches the Rfam family "Bacterial small subunit ribosomal RNA", at positions 8 to 1246 of the family's 1533-position model. Lineage: Bacteria; Bacillati; Actinomycetota; Actinomycetes; Propionibacteriales; Propionibacteriaceae. The record is from RNAcentral.